This 245-nucleotide ribosomal RNA is filed under the name uncultured bacterium. Its description in RNAcentral is "partial 16S ribosomal RNA". It matches the Rfam family "Bacterial small subunit ribosomal RNA", at positions 524 to 768 of the family's 1533-position model. The record is from RNAcentral.
UACAGAGGUCCCGAGCGUUGUUCGGAUUCACUGGGCGUAAAGGGUGCGUAGGUGGUGGCAAAAGUCUGAUGUGAAAUCUCCGGGCUUAACCCGGAAAUGGCAUUGGAAACUUUGUCGCUUGAGGUUUGGAGGGGGGACUGGAAUUCUCGGUGUAGCAGUGAAAUGCGUAGAUAUCGAGAGGAACACCAGUGGCGAAGGCGAGUCCCUGGACAAAACCUGACACUGAGGCACGAAAGCUAGGGGAG